GGGCUGCACGAUUAGAUAUUUUAUGCAGCUAUUGUUACAGUUGUAUCUCCCGCCAAUAUCCCCAUCCCUAAUUAUGUGUUGGUCUCUGCCAAACGGCGGGUCAAUUAGCCAGACGCCUUUGUCUACCUGUUGUAUGGGACAGUAGAGGGUAAACCGUCUGAGCGACAGGACCAUAGGAGGGCGCUUUGCUUAUUGCUUAUUGCUGGCUCCCCCUCGCGGACUAUUUUCCAUUCCCUUUUCGCGUGUCUCCUUUUUUUUCCGCUUCACUGUGCGAAUCCCAAGUGAAGGGCCAACUAUUACGUUUGACUUAUUUUUGCCUUUUAGAGAGUAAACUCAAGAGUACUGAGUUAAGAUCGUAACACUAUAUGGUAAGUACAGACAAAAAAAGAGGAAAACUAUGAGAUACUUGGUCGAUGUUGAAUGGCUCCUGAAGCGCCAUUGUUCUCAACGUUCCAUUUUCUUGGCCAUUUCGGGGCUGGCAGUGAUAGUUCUGUGUAUGUGCGUAGUACUACCUACGGUUGAUUUGCAUCAGUUUAGAGGGAAAAGUUUUCAUGAUGGCUAUACGGGCCCAUUCAAAUCAGUUUGCAGUCGCCAUGCUGAUCGGAGAGGUGCUCAUCAAAAAGUCAUUGGCUAUUCACUCUACGACAACCUCUCAUCACCCAUUUUUGCCAGAAAAUAUUUAAGACACUUUAACGCGACACUGCAUACCGUUCCUUUGGCCUAUCCAGGCUGGGUGGUGAGAAUUUAUCACAAUUUAACGAUGGACGAUGAUGAAGGAUGGAAAGUCCUUGAGAACACCAUAGAUUUCGGAGACCACAUUGAUUUGUGCAAUGCAACUGAGCUGAUCAAGAAACUCAAUUUGACCGACUUGUUUGCCAUGACCUGGCGCUGGCUGCCGUUACUGGAUGAGAUGGUGGACAUGUCAAUGUCCCGUGACUCGGACUCUGCCAUAAUAGCUCGUGAAGAGGACGCCGUUCGUGAAUGGCUGGCAAGCGACCGCACCUAUCACAUCAUGAGAGACCACCCUCAACACUGCGUCACCUUCCUUGGAGGUUGCUGGGGAGUGAAAAUAAGCCAGGAUCGUUCGACAAUUGUCGACGCAGCGCAGAGAAUGUUCCACGAAAAUCAUCGGCAUACGUACGGCUAUGACCAACAAUUACUAGAUAGGCUCUUUUGGCCGAUAGCUCAAAGUAGCAUGAUAGCUCACGACAGCUAUUGCUGUGAAAGAUUCCCGAAUAGUAAGCCAUAUCCGUCGCAGAGGAAAGAUGGCCUAUUCGUCGGCAGACCAAUUUAUUCAAAGGCCAUAUUGAAAUCUCCGUGUCCACAAAAAUGUCGCCCAGCAAAUACGACGUCCGAAUGGACCUAUUGCUGAAAGGACACAUCAACAAUAGAGUGGACGUCCACUGCAAAUCUAUCCCACAAAAAUCACAAACCUAAGGACCUAUAAUGAAAGCCUUUCCCGUUCAAUAUGCAAUAGUUAACCUAUACUGUGUAAGCAAGCCAUACAAAUUUCGGGCACAGGUCA
Molecule: unclassified non-coding RNA, 1525 nt
Filed under: Daphnia magna
Lineage: Eukaryota; Metazoa; Arthropoda; Branchiopoda; Diplostraca; Daphniidae
Description: uncharacterized LOC116920980, transcript variant X1
Source: RNAcentral